AUUGAACGCUGGCGGCAUGCCUUACACAUGCAAGUCGAACGGCAGCACGGGGGCAACCCUGGUGGCGAGUGGCGAACGGGUGAGUAAUGCAUCGGAACGUGUCCUCUUGUGGGGGAUAACCAGUCGAAAGAUUGGCUAAUACCGCAUGAGAUCGAAUGAUGAAAGCGGGGACCGCAAGGCCUCGCGCGAGAGGAGCGGCCGAUGCCGGAUUAGCUAGUUGGUGGGGUAAUGGCCCACCAAGGCGACGAUCCGUAGCUGGUCUGAGAGGACGACCAGCCACACUGGGACUGAGACACGGCCCCAGACUCCUACGGGAGGCAGCAGUGGGGAAUUUUGGACAAUGGGCGCAAGCCUGAUCCAGCCAUGCCGCGUGUGUGAAGAAGGCCUCGGGUUGUAAAGCACUUUCGGACGGAACGAAAUCGCGCGCAUGAACAAUGCGCGUGGAUGACGGUACCGUAAGAAGAAGCACCGGCUAACUACGUGCCAGCAGCCGCGGUAAUACGUAGGGUGCAAGCGUUAAUCGGAAUUACUGGGCGUAAAGGGUGCGCAGGCGGCCUCGCAUGUCAGGCGUGAAAUCCCGGGCUCAACCUGGGAAUGGCGCUUGAAACUACGGGGCUGGAGUGUGGCAGAGGGAGGUGGAAUUCCACGUGUAGCGGUGAAAUGCGUAGAGAUGUGGAGGAACACCGAUGGCGAAGGCAGCCUCCUGGGCCAACACUGACGCUCAUGCACGAAAGCGUGGGGGAGCAAAA
RNAcentral lists this ribosomal RNA (749 nucleotides) under uncultured bacterium. RNAcentral describes it as "bacterial SSU rRNA". It matches the Rfam family "Bacterial small subunit ribosomal RNA", at positions 28 to 773 of the family's 1533-position model. The record is from RNAcentral.